This 252-nucleotide ribosomal RNA is filed under the name uncultured bacterium. RNAcentral describes it as "partial 16S ribosomal RNA". It matches the Rfam family "Bacterial small subunit ribosomal RNA", at positions 524 to 776 of the family's 1533-position model. The record is from RNAcentral.
UACAGAGGGUGCAAGCGUUAAUCGGAAUUACUGGGCGUAAAGCGUGCGUAGACGGUUAUUUAAGUCAGGUGUGAAAGCCCCGGGCUCAACCUGGGAAUUGCAUUUGAGACUGAAUAGCUAGGGUGCGGAAGAGGGAAGCGGAAUUUCCGGUGUAGCGGUGAAAUGCGUAGAUAUCGGAAGGAACACCAGUGGCGAAAGCGGCUUCCUGGUCCAGCACCGACGUCAGGCACGAAAGCGUGGGGAGCAAACAGG